This 1822-nucleotide ribosomal RNA is filed under the name Collodes tenuirostris. Its description in RNAcentral is "SSU rRNA". It matches the Rfam family "Eukaryotic small subunit ribosomal RNA". Lineage: Eukaryota; Metazoa; Arthropoda; Malacostraca; Decapoda; Inachoididae. The record is from RNAcentral.
AGUAGUCAUAUGCUUGUCUCAAAGAUUAAGCCAUGCAUGUCUAAGUACAGGCCGAAUUAAGGUGAAACCGCGAAUGGCUCAUUAAAUCAGCUAUGAUUCCUUGGAUCUGUACCCACACUUACUUGGAUAACUGUGGUAAUUCUAGAGCUAAUACAUGCACCACGUCUCUGACCGCAAGGGAAGAGCGCUUUUAUUAGUUCAAAACCGGUCGGGCCUCGGUCCGUCACUUGAGUGUUGAAUCUGAAUAACUUUUAGCUGAGCGCACGGUCUCCGCACCGGCGCCGCUUCUUUCAAGUGUCUGCCUUAUCAGCUUUCGAUUGUAGGUUAAACGCCUACAAUGGCUAUAACGGGUAACGGGGAAUCAGGGUUCGAUUCCGGAGAGGGAGCCUGAGAAACGGCUACCACAUCUAAGGAAGGCAGCAGGCACGCAAAUUACCCACUCCCAGCACGGGGAGGUAGUGACGAAAAAUAACAAUGCGAGACUCAUCCGAGGCCUUGCAAUUGGAAUGAGUACACUUUAAAUCCUUUAACGAGGAUCAAUUGGAGGGCAAGUCUGGUGCCAGCAGCCGCGGUAAUUCCAGCUCCAAUAGCGUAUAUUAAAGUUGUUGCGGUUAAAAAGCUCGUAGUUGGAUUUCGGUUCUGGACUGGCGGUCCACCGUAAGGUGAGUACUGUCACGCUCCGAACUGUAUACAAGUCCGCUGGCUUGCACGGGGUGCUCUUUACCGAGUGUCCCGCGUGGCUGGCAGAGUUUACUUUGAAAAAAUUAGAGUGCUCAAAGCAGGCUACACGAACGGCCUGAAUGCCUAUGCAUGGAAUAAUGGAAUAGGACCUCUGUUCUAUUUUGUCGGUUUUUCUGAACCAGAGGUAAUGACUAACAGGAACAGGCGGGGGCAUUCGUAUUGCGACGCUAGAGGUGAAAUUCUUGGACCGUCGCAAGACGAACUAUUGCGAAAGCAUUUGCCAAGGAUGUUUUCAUUAAUCAAGAACGAAAGUUAGAGGUUCGAAGGCGAUCAGAUACCGCCCUAGUUCUAACCAUAAACGAUGCUGACCAGCGAUCCGCCGGCGUUAUUCCCAUGACCCGGCGGGCAGCUUCCGGGAAACCAAAGUCUUUGGGUUCCGGGGGAAGUAUGGUUGCAAAGCUGAAACUUAAAGGAAUUGACGGAAGGGCACCACCAGGAGUGGAGCCUGCGGCUUAAUUUGACUCAACACGGGGAACCUCACCAGGCCCAGACACCGGAAGGAUUGACAGAUUGAGAGCUCUUUCUCGAUUCGGUGGGUGGUGGUGCAUGGCCGUUCUUAGUUGGUGGAGCGAUUUGUCUGGUUAAUUCCGAUAACGAACGAGACUCUAGCCUACUAAAUAGCCGACGGAUCUCCAGCAAUUGGUGUCCAGUCGUAGCUUCUUCUUAGAGGGAUAAGCGGCAAUUCUAGCAGCACGAGAUUGAGCAAUAACAGGUCUGUGAUGCCCUUAGAUGUUCUGGGCCGCACGCGCGCUACAAUGAAAGGGUCAGCGUGUUUUCCCCCUCCGAGAGGAGCGGGUAACCCGUUGAAAUCCUUUCCUGAUUGGGAUUGGGGUUUGCAACUAUCUCCCAUGAACGAGGAAUUCCCAGUAAGCGCAAGUCAUGAGCUUGCGUUGAUUACGUCCCUGCCCUUUGUACACACCGCCCGUCGCUACUACCGAUUGAAUGAUUUAGUGAGGCCUUCGGACUGGCGCCCUUGGAUGCCUUUGGUUCACUUCGGUGGGCUUCUCGGCGCCUCGGGCUGACGGAAAGAUGUCCAAACUUGAUCAUUUAGAGGAAGUAAAAGUCGUAACAAGGUUUCCGU